This is a long non-coding RNA of Oreochromis niloticus (Nile tilapia), 809 nucleotides long. RefSeq lists it as uncharacterized. The transcript is spliced from 3 exons. The record is from RefSeq and is a predicted model, not a curated record. NCBI's taxonomy places the organism in Eukaryota, Metazoa, Chordata, Actinopteri, Cichliformes, Cichlidae.
AAAAAAAAAUAAUAAUAAUAAUAAUAAAAUAAAUCUAUUUUUGUUGAGUUCAGUGUCAAAAUAAUUCAAAAUAUUUUAACAUAGUAAAAUUUCAACGACCUAAAUAAACAUAUUACUCAGAAUGUGUCCUCCAUGUUUAUUGGUGCUGUAACUCAUAGAGAAAUAAUUAACAUUGUGAAAACAUUUAAAAAUAAAAAGUCCACUGACUGUUUUGGUAUUGACAUGAUAUUAAUUAAAAGUAUUAUAGAAUAUAUAGUGAAACCUUUCGCAUACAUUUGUAAUCUGUCCUUUCGAACUGGUGUGUUUCCCUCACAAAUGAAAAUAGCAAAAGUUAUUCCAAUCCAUAAAAACGGAGAGAGAUGUCAGUUUACCAAUUACAGGCCAAUAUCACUACUCCCACAGUUCUCAAAAAUUUUAGAAAAGUUAUUUGUUAAUAGACUUGAUAAAUAUAUAGAGAAGCAUAAUCUCCUAAGUGAUAACCAAUAUGGCUUUAGAAUGAAAAGGUCCACUUCGAUGGCAGUGAUGGAACUUGUAGAAGGGAUAUCUAAUGCUAUAGAUAAUAAGGAAUAUACUGUUGGUGUUUUUAUAGACUUACAAAAGGCGUUUGAUACAAAUGAUCAUUCUAUAUUAAUGAAUAAACUAGAGAGAUAUGGCAUAAGAGGGAUAGCAUACAAGUGGAUGAAAAGUUACCUGGAUGACAGAUAUCAAUAUGUCGAAAUCAAUAAUGUAAAAUCUAAUCAGUUGAAGGUAACUUGUGGUGUUCCUCAGGGCUCUGUGCUGGGCCCUAAAUUAUUCAUAUUAUAUAUAAA